GAUGAACGCUGGCGGCGUGCCUAAUACAUGCAAGUCGAGCGAACGGACGAGAAUUUCGCUUCUCUGAUGUUAGCGGCGGACGGGUGAGUCACACGUAGAUAACCUACCUAUAAGACUGGGAUCACUUCGGGAAACCGGAGCUAAUACCGGAUAAUAUUUUGAACUGCAUGGUUCAAAAGUGAAAGGCGGUCUUGCUGUCACUUAUAGAUGGAUCCGCGCUGCAUUAGCUAGUUGGUAAGGUAACGGCUUACCAAGGCAACGAUGCAUAGCCGACCUGAGAGGAUGAUCGGUCACACUGGAACUGAGACACGGUCCAGACUCCUACGGGAGGCAGCAGUAGGGAAUCUUGCGCAAUGGGCGAAAGCCUGACGGAGCAAUGCCGCGUGUGUGAUGAAGGUCUUCGGAUCGUAAAGCUCUGUAAUUAGGGAAGAACAUAAGUAUAUGUAACUGUGGACAUCUUGACGGUACCUAAAGAGAAAGCAACGGCUAACUACGUG
Molecule: ribosomal RNA, 497 nt
Filed under: uncultured bacterium
Lineage: Bacteria
Description: partial 16S ribosomal RNA
Rfam family: Bacterial small subunit ribosomal RNA
Source: RNAcentral